CCUCCUAUCGCGCCGAGCUCCAUCCACUAGGCGGGGAUCACCGACCAAAAAGGGAUGGAGGCGGGGGACCCACCGGUCCACCGUGAUCGGACUGGAGUCGCUUGCGGCUCCUAGGGGUGAAGCCGACGCCGGCUCCCAUGCGGAGUACGGCGACGGCCGGGUGGCCUCUCCAACCCGAACCCGACAGCUGACCUCGUAGGCGCGUCACACGAGAGGAAUA
Molecule: small RNA, 220 nt
Filed under: Mycobacterium sp.
Lineage: Bacteria; Bacillati; Actinomycetota; Actinomycetes; Mycobacteriales; Mycobacteriaceae
Description: c-di-AMP sequence
Rfam family: c-di-AMP riboswitch aptamer (ydaO/yuaA leader)
About the family: This family represents a conserved RNA structure found upstream of the ydaO and yuaA genes in Bacillus subtilis and related genes in other bacteria. The ydaO/yuaA element is thought to act as a genetic "off" switch for the ydaO and yuaA genes in its native state. It is believed that the element may be triggered during osmotic shock leading to activation of ydaO, a predicted amino acid transporter gene, and members of the yuaA-yubG operon which code for KtrA and KtrB K+ transporters.
Source: RNAcentral